GGCCAUGUAUACUGGAGCUCCCAUUUACUAUUAUCAUAACUGAUGAAGAAACCUUCUUUUUUCACCUGCCAAUACACAUUCUCGUGCCCUGCAUCUCUCGUCGGCAUAUACACGUACCAGUUUGAGAAUUCAGUACUCCCGGCUUUUGCCCCACAUUUCCAUGUAUCUUUGAGGAAUGCUUUCCAUCGGAGAUGAUCUCCGGGAUUCACCAUGUUUCCCGGAUCCUCCUCUACUGGACACCCUAUGUUUAUCGUGUUUGGCAUUUGGUUCAACACGUCUAGGUUUGCUUUCCCGGCUUCAUCACCUCGUACUGUCAACAGGUACAUUGCAAGUGCAAGGCCUAGCGUCA
RNAcentral lists this long non-coding RNA (349 nucleotides) under Carica papaya (papaya). Its description in RNAcentral is "long non-coding RNA (CPAP_LNC008376)". Lineage: Eukaryota; Viridiplantae; Streptophyta; Magnoliopsida; Brassicales; Caricaceae. The record is from RNAcentral.